Molecule: RNA transcript, 2547 nt
Organism: Aquila chrysaetos chrysaetos
Lineage: Eukaryota; Metazoa; Chordata; Aves; Accipitriformes; Accipitridae
Gene: VSTM5
Gene name: V-set and transmembrane domain containing 5
Exons: 6
Source: RefSeq, a predicted model, not a curated record
UCCCCGCCGCGGGGAAGCGGCAGAGCCGGGCCGGGCUGCGCGGCCCCGUUCCGGCCGCCCAUUAGCGCUCAUUUCCUGGCUGGGGCGAUGGCAGGCGGCCGGGCAGCGCUUUCCCUGCCGCAGCCAAUUGCGUCUUCAGUCCGUAUCGGAGGAUCGCGGGGUGUGAGGCGUGGGAGAGCCCGGGGGCCGGUGCGGGGAGCCGCCGCCAGCCCCGGCGCCGCGGCGGGAGGGGGAGGAAGAGGAGGGAGAGGAGCGAGGAAGAGGCCCCGGGGCGGGCAGCCCCCGGGGUCGGGCCGCGCCGGCCGGGCCAGCCGCUUAAAUGCAACCCCUGGGGCAUCGGCUCCUCUCUGAUGAGACCGCUCCGGGGCUGCCGGGGACGGGGCGUCGUCGUGGGGACCGUCACCCUCUGCCUGGCCGCCGGGUGGGCUCUGCAGACUCCCGGAGGAGUAUCGUUAGUUGUCCCACAACCCAACAUCAACGCAACAGUGGCACAAAACAUCCUCCUCUCAGUUGAAUACUCUUGCAGAGGCGUUGCCACCAUUGAGUGGAAGCACGUGUCGAGCUGGGGCACCACCAAAAUUGUUGAGUGGAAAAGUGGGAAUUACGUCAACGUAUCCACGGUCUACAAGGACAGAGUAACAACUUUUGAAAAUGGCUCUAUACAGCUUCUGAACGUGGGCAUGAGAGAUGCCGGCUACUACUUCAUCACUGUAACAGAGGAGCAUGGAACCAACACCUACGGCACCAUCAUAGUCAACGUUUAUGAGAUUAUCUAUGAAGAUUUACAUUUUGUAGCAGUUCUCUUUGCAUUUCUCGCUGCAGUGUCUGCCAUUUUGAUCUGCUUCAUGUGGCUGUGUAAUAAAUCUCUGCAUCUAUUUCAGAAGAAGACGGCACACAAACUAACAGCAAGUACAACUGAAGAGAUUGAAUUGGAAACCAUUGAGUGUUAGCCAAGGACUGUCUAAUAACAAAACCAAUUCUACCUCAGGAGAAAGUAUUGGCAAAGAAAGCGAGAAGAAACCUAAAAGGACAGGCUGACAGAGCUUCCCCUCUGGUCAGGGACUACGAUGCUCAGGUGCAGAAGUACUAUGGGUUAGAUUUGGAAAAACAGAGAAUUUCUCACGAAGUGCAUAACAAUGCAGCUAGGCCUGGAAGUCUUGACAAAUGUCUUCAGUGCUAGGGUGCAGUGCUUGCACUUCUGCAACACAAGAGAAGUCCUCUUGCAUCCAUAAUUUCUUUUCAGAAAGGGACAAAUCCCGCAACUAUGAGUUCCUAAUAGCUCCACAGCGAUCCUAUUACUUCGUAAUGAAGAGCUUGUUUGACGAAAAGGCUAUCACUACAUGCAGACGUGUCAAUUUAAGUUAGGAACAGUGAAAUGUAAAGAUACAUUUAAGUUUCACACACUCAUCUUCUAAUUAUUAGCAAGAGAAGAUUUGUUGUGUUGCCAAGAGUCAAAACAGCCGCAUAUGAUCGGAUGCACAAAUAGAUGCAUCAGGCUGUUGGCUGAACUGUUGUUCACCAAGGAACAAAACCCCUCUCUGCCUGUAAUCACACAGUGUCUGCUAGCCAAGCAAUGUGGGACCUGGCAUCACAGGUGUUGCAUAAGAUUCACCCAUCUUUCAAGAUCAGGAGACUAUUUUCAACUAGUAUUUUUUCUGUUUCGUAAGUUGUCUUGGGUAACUCAUCAGAACCUAAAAGGAAAACCCUUUCUCUCUCACAGUUCAGUUGCACAGAAGCAAGUACUGCAAGGAAGUGAAAUAACAAGAUGUUCUACACUGGCAAACGCCAACAUAAGUACAAUAGCUGCUUUGGAUACGCACUGAGCAGCAACUUGCCACAAGCAGUUGCUUAAUAGCUGUUUCUUCCAACUAUUCUUUAUUGCUCGAGAAUACAGCAAAAUAACAACUGUCACCAUACAAGUAUGAUGUUAAAUUCAAACAUGUUCUAUGUGCAAGAAGUUCUCUUAUGUGUGUAUAUAUAUAUAUAUAUACACACACACACACACCCCCCUCACAACAUACAAUAUGGACCUAAGUCUGAACCAGUUCAUACAGUCAGGUUUCAAAAAGACCUUUAGCAAUUAAUCAUCAAACAAAAGAAAAGCUUUGUGCAACACCUUACCAGAAACUUCAAGAAGGCUACAAUUACAAUGAAAAAACAUAAACAUGACUUUUUUAUUUUAAAAGAACUCAAAAGAGCUGAUCCUCAGGAGGAUAUUAUUGUUUCCCUGGAUGAUGAUCAGUGACAGUGCAGAAAAAAACCCCCAAACAGCACAAGUGUAGAGAUCCAAGGUCUACUGCAUGGGAGUUACCUGCUUCUAUACAGACAUGAAUUUAUACAAGUCACCCACAAACUCAAAUUGUCAAAAUUUUGCAAGCAGAGUAAGACACCUUCCUCUACAUGCUGGCAAAAAACAAGGACAGAAAACACAAACAAAAUAACUGACACCACGUAGGCUCAUCUACAGCCAUCAGAGAGGAAGACAUUUGCCACAAGCUGUGACUUUGUAACACUCUCAAAUUAAACAAAUCACUAAGUAAACGUAUC